Long non-coding RNA from Myxocyprinus asiaticus (Chinese sucker), 2438 nucleotides. RefSeq lists it as uncharacterized. The transcript is spliced from 3 exons. The record is from RefSeq and is a predicted model, not a curated record. NCBI's taxonomy places the organism in Eukaryota, Metazoa, Chordata, Actinopteri, Cypriniformes, Catostomidae.
GAACUCUAACCCCGACUGUGAUCAGGUUUCUCAGGAACUCUAACCCCGACUGUGAUCAGGUUUCUCAGGGACUCUAACCCCGACUGUGAUCAGGUUUCUCAGGGACUCUAACCCCGACUGUGAUCAGGUUUCUCAGGAACUCUAACCCCGACUGUGAUCAGGUUUCUCAGGGACUCUAACCCCGACUGUGAUCAGGUUUCUCAGGGACUCUAACCCCGACUGUGAUCAGGUUUCUCAGGAACUCUAACCCCGACUGUGAUCAGGUUUCUCAGGGACUCUAACCCCGACUGUGAUCAGGUUUCUCAGAGACUCUAACCCCGACUGUGAUCAGGUUUCUCAGAGACUCUAACCCCGACUGUGAUCAGGUUUCUCAGAGACUCUAACCCCGACUGUGAUCAGGUUUCUCAGGGACUCUAACCCCGACUGUGAUCAGGUUUCUCAGAGACUCUAACCCCGACUGUGAUCAGGUUUCUCAGGGACUCUAACCCCGACUGUGAUCAGGUUUCUCAGGGACUCUAACCCCGACUGUGAUCAGGUUUCUCAGGGACUCUAACCCCGACUGUGAUCAGGUUUCUCAGGGACUCUAACCCCGACUGUGAUCAGGUUUCUCAGGAACUCUAACCCCGACUGUGACCAGGUUUCUCAGAGACUCUAACCCCGACUGUAAUCACAGCUUUAUCCUUCAGCACUGAGUCCGUUGUCGAGUCAGCCGACCAUUCUGUAAGCGUUCUUAAGCUUUUCUUUUUGGUUCAGGCUAAAACUACCAUUUUCUGGAAACCCAUUUUCUUCCCAUAAUUGUAAUUGUGCACACAACCUGUUAUAUAUAAUUAUUAUUUCAUUCUUUAAGGUCCCGGACCACAACUUGAGUUUUCAGAAUUUGACUACGUCGAGGUGGGACUCAGGGGACCCAGUCAUUGGCUGCGCAGCUUUACCUGUCAUUAUAGAUCAGGGCGAACCUGAAUUAGGAUCCCAUCCUCGUCGCCACUUUGUCAUGGAAAUUCUCCACCUGGAAUUCACACGAGUGAGAGUGUUCUAAACACAUUACAGGAAACAGUGCAGUCUUUUCCUCAUUGCUUUAUUCAUACCACCUGGCCGGGAGGAGAAGCUCAUGUGGCAGGCAUAUAUAGGAUACUUAUGUAUAGUUCCUUGUUUGUCAACAAGUUACAUGUGAUUAGACCUCAGCAGAUUUCUCAUGUGAUAUGAACAUGUAUUGUAUUUGAGCAAACCAGUUAUCAUAUGAUCGGACCCUUAGAGGUAUGAACAAGAAGAUAUUGUCUUCUGCCUGGAAAACAGACUGGUCAUCCAUUUCAACCCAUAAGCACAACACAGGGCUGCUCCAGCACUGCAUUUUCUACCUUAAAGUAUUUUAUACAUAAAUAAUAAUGUUCUCAUAUAGCUAACUAUUAUAUUGACCUUCACAAAAGUAUUUCCAUUGUUCAGUGUUGGCAGGAACCUCUGGUGAUCUUACCAGCAACAUCUCAUGAAAACAGCUCACAAGAAUUCAGUUAGAGCAGAAAUUCAGAAAGCUACAAGAUUCAGUUUGCUCAUGUCAACAAAGUCAAAGAUUUAGUUUAGAAAUGGAAUCAAAAUUAAGGUCCAGAUACACUUCAUAUGAAAUCGAUGAACGAAUUGGUGUGAUGUCAUUUAGAACUAAAUCUGGCCAAAAAGAAGGUGUUUUCACCUCUCUGUGCAGUGAAUAUUAUACAUUGUAUCUGUACACAACAAGACAAAAGUCAUCCCUGGGGUAGAGACAGUGAGUAAAUCUAAAAAUGGUUAAACAGUUUGGCAUCCUGAUCUAGGCUGUAAAAUAUUAAUAACAUUUCAAAUAUUAACUGAUUCAUUUCUCUAUUACAAUACAUGCAUUUCUCAUUUCUUGCCAUAUUGCAUAUUUCAGACUGUUGAUUUUCUUUUUGGGCACUGCACAAAGAAUAUGUGAUGUGGACAUUGCCUGUUAUUAAUAUAUUUAUUUAUAUACAGUCAUUUGAUUGUACAGUGUCAACAUCAAAAGCACAGUGUAUAUUUUAAGACCACAUUUAAAGCUUUUUUUUCUCCUAAAGUUAUUGCAUUCAGCACCUUUUUUAGACCAAAAAGGACCAUUUGUGACCUUCCCCUACAACAGGAUUGACCUUUAAACAUGUAAAGUAAACUGAGACUGACUGUAGUUCUGUCUGUUUUGGGUCUUGAUUUAUUAUUCUUACAACAUUGCAAAAAAUAAGUUGCUAUGUUGUGCCUAAAGUAUGUUCAAUCAAAGGUGAAUCGGUAAGAAAAUAAGUGUUAACAUUUCUUUUGUCCAGUUGUUUGCUCAGAUGGCUGUUAUUGAUGUUGUAAGAUUUUGAGAGAAGGUUUUUUGAAGUUUUGCUUCAUUUUCAAUCGUGAAUGCUGAAACUUUAAUUUAAUGUAUCCCAGACUGUCUUCCAGAAGAGAUCUUGAUGUAGUUU